CUGGCUCAGGAUGAACGCUGGCGGCGUGCUUAACACAUGCAAGUCGAACGGUGAACACGGAGCUUGCUCUGUGGGAUCAGUGGCGAACGGGUGAGUAACACGUGAGCAACCUGCCCCUGACUCUGGGAUAAGCGCUGGAAACGGCGUCUAAUACUGGAUAUGUGACGUGACCGCAUGGUCUGCGUUUGGAAAGAUUUUUCGGUUGGGGAUGGGCUCGCGGCCUAUCAGCUUGUUGGUGAGGUAAUGGCUCACCAAGGCGUCGACGGGUAGCCGGCCUGAGAGGGUGACCGGCCACACUGGGACUGAGACACGGCCCAGACUCCUACGGGAGGCAGCAGUGGGGAAUAUUGCACAAUGGGCGGAAGCCUGAUGCAGCAACGCCGCGUGAGGGAUGACGGCCUUCGGGUUGUAAACCUCUUUUAGCAGGGAAGAAGCGAAAGUGACGGUACCUGCAGAAAAAGCGCCGGCUAACUACGUGCCAGCAGCCGCGGUAAUACGUAGGGCGCAAGCGUUAUCCGGAAUUAUUGGGCGUAAAGAGCUCGUAGGCGGUUUGUCGCGUCUGCUGUGAAAUCCCGAGGCUCAACCUCGGGCCUGCAGUGGGUACGGGCAGACUAGAGUGCGGUAGGGGAGAUUGGAAUUCCUGGUGUAGCGGUGGAAUGCGCAGAUAUCAGGAGGAACACCGAUGGCGAAGGCAGAUCUCUGGGCCGUAACUGACGCUGAGGAGCGAAAGGGUGGGGAGCAAACAGGCUUAGAUACCCUGGUAGUCCACCCCGUAAACGUUGGGAACUAGUUGUGGGGUCCAUUCCACGGAUUCCGUGACGCAGCUAACGCAUUAA
This 836-nucleotide ribosomal RNA is filed under the name Microbacterium paraoxydans. RNAcentral's name for it is "bacterial SSU rRNA". It matches the Rfam family "Bacterial small subunit ribosomal RNA", at positions 19 to 863 of the family's 1533-position model. The record is from RNAcentral. Lineage: Bacteria; Bacillati; Actinomycetota; Actinomycetes; Micrococcales; Microbacteriaceae.